RNAcentral lists this ribosomal RNA (496 nucleotides) under uncultured bacterium. Its description in RNAcentral is "partial 16S ribosomal RNA". It matches the Rfam family "Bacterial small subunit ribosomal RNA", at positions 28 to 506 of the family's 1533-position model. The record is from RNAcentral.
GAUGAACGCUGGCGGCGUGCCUAAUACAUGCAAGUCGAGCGAACGGACGAGAAGCUUGCUUCUCUGAUGUUAGCGGCGGACGGGUGAGUAACACGUGGAUAACCUACCUAUAAGACUGGGAUAACUUCGGGAAACCGGAGCUAAUACCGGAUAAUAUUUUGAACCGCAUGGUUCAAAAGUGAAAGACGGUCUUGCUGUCACUUAUAGAUGGAUCCGCGCUGCAUUAGCUAGUUGGUAAGGUAACGGCUUACCAAGGCAACGAUGCAUAGCCGACCUGAGAGGGGGGACCGCCCACACGGAAAUUGAGACCCGUCCAAGACCCCAGGGGGGGGCGGAGGUGGGAAUCCUCCCGAAAGGGGCGAAGGCUGACGGAGCAACCGCGGGGGGGGUAAGGAGGUUUUCGGGUCGGAAAACUUUUUUUUUAGGGAAAAACAAAUUGUGAAGGUAACGUGCACCACUGGGAGGGACCUAAACAAAAAACCCCGGCGAAACACGG